Molecule: ribosomal RNA, 305 nt
Filed under: uncultured bacterium
Lineage: Bacteria
Description: bacterial SSU rRNA
Rfam family: Bacterial small subunit ribosomal RNA
Source: RNAcentral
GGUCCUACGGGGCGCAGCAGUGGGGGAUAUUGCACAAUGGGGGGAACCCUGAUGCAGCGACGCCGCGUGGGUGAAGAAGCGCCUCGGCGCGUAAAGCCCUGUCAGCAGGGAAGAAAAUGACGGUACCCCUUGAAUAAGCCACGGCUAACUACGUGCCAGCAGCCGCGGUAAUACGUAGGUGGCAAGCGUUGUCCGGAUUUACUGGGUGUAAAGGGCGUGCAGCCGGAGAGACAAGUCAGAUGUGAAAUCCACGGGCUCAACCCGUGAACUGCAUUUGAAACUGUUUCCCUUGAGUGUCGGAGAGG